This 533-nucleotide ribosomal RNA is filed under the name uncultured bacterium. RNAcentral's name for it is "bacterial SSU rRNA". It matches the Rfam family "Bacterial small subunit ribosomal RNA", at positions 791 to 1326 of the family's 1533-position model. The record is from RNAcentral.
UAGUCCACGCCGUAAACGAUGAGAACUAGAUGUUGGGGGGUUGCCCUUCGGUGUCGCAGCUAACGCGUUAAGUUCUCCGCCUGGGGAGUACGCCGGCAACGGUAAAACUCAAAGGAAUUGACGGGGACCCGCACAAGCGGUGGAGCAUGUGGUUUAAUUCGAUGCAACGCGAAGAACCUUACCUGCCCUUGACAUACUCGGAACUUUCCAGAGAUGGAUUGGUGCCUUCGGGAACCGAGAUACAGGUGCUGCAUGGCUGUCGUCAGCUCGUGUCGUAAGAUGUCUGGUUAAGUCCAAUAACGAGCGCAACCCUUAUCCUUAGUUACCAGCAUUAAGUUGGGGACUCUAGGGAGACUGCCGGUGUUAAACCGGAGGAAGGCGGGGAUGACGUCAAGUCCUCAUGGCCCUUACGGGUAGGGCUACACACGUACCACAAUGGCAGAUACAAACCGUUUGCAAAGCCGCGAGGUUGAGCUAAUCGGUAAAACACUGUCCCAGUCCGGAUUGGAGUCUGCAACUCGACUCCAUGAAGA